GUGCUCACUUCGGCAGCACACAUACUAAAAUUGCAAUGAUGCAGAGAAGAUUAUCAGGGACCCUGUGCAAGGAUGGCACGCAAUUUUGGGAAGCGUUCCACAUUUUU
Molecule: small nuclear RNA, 107 nt
Filed under: Balaenoptera musculus (blue whale)
Lineage: Eukaryota; Metazoa; Chordata; Mammalia; Artiodactyla; Balaenopteridae
Source: RNAcentral